AUUGAACGCUGGCGGCAGGCCUAACACAUGCAAGUCGAGCGGAUGAAGGGAGCUUGCUCCUGGAUUCAGCGGCGGACGGGUGAGUAAUGCCUAGGAAUCUGCCUGGUCGUGGGGGAUAACGUCCGGAAACGGGCGCUAAUACCGCAUACGUCCUGAGGGAGAAAGUGGGGGAUCUUCGGACCUCACGCUAUCAGAUGAGCCUAGGUCGGAUUAGCUAGUUGGUGGGGUAAAGGCCUACCAAGGCGACGAUCCGUAACUGGUCUGAGAGGAUGAUCAGUCACACUGGAACUGAGACACGGUCCAGACUCCUACGGGAGGCAGCAGUGGGGAAUAUUGGACAAUGGGCGAAAGCCUGAUCCAGCCAUGCCGCGUGUGUGAAGAAGGUCUUCGGAUUGUAAAGCACUGUAAGUUGGGAGGAAGGGCAGUAAGUUAAUACCUGGCUGUUUUGACGUUACCAACAGAAUAAGCACCGGCUAACUUCGUG
RNAcentral lists this ribosomal RNA (484 nucleotides) under uncultured bacterium. Its description in RNAcentral is "partial 16S ribosomal RNA". It matches the Rfam family "Bacterial small subunit ribosomal RNA", at positions 30 to 507 of the family's 1533-position model. The record is from RNAcentral.